GGGGCGGAUGUAGCCAAGUGGAUCAAGGCAGUGGAUUGGUACUC
This 44-nucleotide transfer RNA is filed under the name Polygonatum hunanense. RNAcentral describes it as "partial tRNA-His". Lineage: Eukaryota; Viridiplantae; Streptophyta; Magnoliopsida; Asparagales; Asparagaceae. The record is from RNAcentral.